Molecule: long non-coding RNA, 1076 nt
Organism: Pelmatolapia mariae (spotted tilapia)
Lineage: Eukaryota; Metazoa; Chordata; Actinopteri; Cichliformes; Cichlidae
Exons: 3
Source: RefSeq, a predicted model, not a curated record
UUCAAAAUCCUUUUUCCACUUGCAAUUUAAUAAACUGCAGUUCAAAAUCCUUUUUCCACUUGCAAUUUAAUAAACUGCAGUUCAAAAUCCAUUUCCCUUUCCUGUUCGCUCCGGGAUUAGGUGCUGGAUUAGCUGCUGGAUUAGCUGCUGGAUUAGCUCUUCGAUUAACAACUUGCUGGAGGCUAUUCAAAUUAGCCACACCGUGGGAUGUAAGGAGCUCUCUGAUUGGUUGGUCAGACACAGGCUGUCUGCCAGCCUGGAUUUUUCUAGCUCAUAGCUUCGCCCUGCUAAGAAGCCUGUGUGCUUGUACAAAGGCCGUUCAGCCUCGGGAUUUACACUCGGCUCGACACGGAUAUGUGAAGAAUGAAGGGACCCUGCAGCGAAACGGAGAGCGCAACCUCUGACUGAGUGCCUGUCUACACAGUCUGACCACCUGUUGAAGGGCUGUUUGAUGACGAUUUGGACUCCUCUGGGAGAUGAGGACACACCCACAUCUGUUCCAUACUGCAGCCAUGGAUGGUGUUACAGCUCUGAGGCAGCUUUGGGCCAUCAGACGCACACACUGGAAAACCAGCACCUGGACUUCAUGCAGGAGAGAUGGCCUCAGUGAUGUAGGUUCAUAAAAUUCAUCAGCAGCUGUGAAGAGAUGCAUUUGAAUAUCUUCUGGUUCCACUUUUCCUAACCUGGAAGCUGAGGAUGGCUGAUUUCUGACAAGGACACACACCUCAGCGCUUAUCAUGGGUGUUACAUCCUCCGUGCAGCAAUUCCAGAGAAAACGAGAGAGCAACGACCACUCAUUAAGACCAGACAGAAAUCUGUCCCUUUUUGGCAGCUGUGGAAACUUCCAAUAAGAAAGUUUGCAUUCUUAGAACAAUGCUGGGUCGUGUGUGAUGUGUCAUCAUAUGAGGAUAUUACAUUUUGACUUAAUUCUGCUCAAUUAAGUGUUUUGAUCGUUGAUCCAGUAUAGCAGCUUUGUGUUGUGCAGCAAGUUAAAACCCAUUGUCCUCACGAGCACAGCAUCUAACAACUCUCCUUAAAAAAACCGAAUGACUUUAACUAGACACAAUGGUUUCCAG